RNAcentral lists this ribosomal RNA (468 nucleotides) under uncultured bacterium. Its description in RNAcentral is "partial 16S ribosomal RNA". It matches the Rfam family "Bacterial small subunit ribosomal RNA", at positions 28 to 507 of the family's 1533-position model. The record is from RNAcentral.
GACGAACGCUGGCGGCGUGCUUAACACAUGCAAGUCGAACGGAAAGGCCCUGCUUUUGUGGGGUGCUCGAGUGGCGAACGUGUGAGUAACCCGUGAGUAACCUGCCCUUGACUUUGGGAUAACUUCAGGAAACUGGGGCUAAUACCGGAUAGGAGCUCCUGCUGCAUGGUGGGGGUUGGAAAGUUUCGGCGGUUGGGGAUGGACUCGCGGCUUAUCAACUUGUUGGUGGGGUAGUGGCUUACCAAGGCUUUGACGGGUAGCCGGCCUGAGAGGGUGACCGGCCACAUUGGGACUGAGAUACGGCCCAGACUCCUACGGGAGGCAGCAGUGGGGAAUAUUGCACAAUGGGCGGAAGCCUGAUGCAGCAACGCCGCGUGCGGGAUGACGGCCUUCGGGUUGUAAACCGCUUUCGCCUGUGACGAAGCGUGAGUGACGGUAAUGGGUAAAGAAGCACCGGCUAACUACGUG